Molecule: ribosomal RNA, 469 nt
Filed under: uncultured bacterium
Lineage: Bacteria
Description: partial 16S ribosomal RNA
Rfam family: Bacterial small subunit ribosomal RNA
Source: RNAcentral
GAUGAACGCUGGCGGCGUGCUUAACACAUGCAAGUCGAACGGUGAACACGGAGCUUGCUCUGUGGGAUCAGUGGCGAACGGGUGAGUAACACGUGAGCAACCUGCCCCUGACUCUGGGAUAAGCGCUGGAAACGGCGUCUAAUACUGGAUAUGUGACGUGACCGCAUGGUCUGCGUUUGGAAAGAUUUUUCGGUUGGGGAUGGGCUCGCGGCCUAUCAGCUUGUUGGUGAGGUAGUGGCUCACCAAGGCGUCGACGGGUAGCCGGCCUGAGAGGGUGACCGGCCACACUGGGACUGAGACACGGCCCAGACUCCUACGGGAGGCAGCAGUGGGGAAUAUUGCACAAUGGGCGCAAGCCUGAUGCAGCAACGCCGCGUGAGGGAUGACGGCCUUCGGGUUGUAAACCUCUUUUAGCAGGGAAGAAGCGAAAGUGACGGUACCUGCAGAAAAAGCGCCGGCUAACUACGUG